Gracilinanus agilis (Agile Gracile Mouse Opossum) is the source of this 104-nucleotide small nuclear RNA. The record is from RefSeq and is a predicted model, not a curated record. Lineage: Eukaryota; Metazoa; Chordata; Mammalia; Didelphimorphia; Didelphidae.
UUGCUUCAGUAGCACAUAUAUUAAAAAUGGAAACAAUACAGAGAUCAGCCUAUCCCCUAUGCAAGAAAGAAAUGAUACACAUUCAUGAAGUAUUACAUAUUUUU